GAUGAAGAACGUAGCGAAAUGCGAUACGUAGUGUGAAUUGCAGAAUUCAGUGAAUCAUCGAAUCUUUGAACGCACAUUGCACCUCUCGGUAUUCCGGGAGGUAUGCCUGUUCGAGCGUCAUUUGUACCCUCAAGCUCUGCUUGGUGUUGGGUGUUUGUUCCGCCUCUGUGUGUGAACUCGCCUCAAAACAAUUGGCAGCCCUUAAAAUCAGUGGCGGCGCCAUCUGGCUCUAAGCGUAGUAAUUCUUCUCGCUAUGGAGUCCUGGUGGAUGCUUGCCAUCAACCCCCAAUUUUUCUAUGGUUGACCUCGGAUCAGGUAGGGAUACCCGCUGAACUUAAGCAUAUCAAUAAGCGGAGGA
This 358-nucleotide unclassified non-coding RNA is filed under the name soil metagenome. RNAcentral's name for it is "partial contains 5.8S ribosomal RNA, internal transcribed spacer 2, and large subunit ribosomal RNA". The stretch from base 1 to 120 matches the Rfam family "5.8S ribosomal RNA", at positions 35 to 154 of the family's 154-position model. The record is from RNAcentral.